This 355-nucleotide ribosomal RNA is filed under the name Rhodopseudomonas palustris. RNAcentral's name for it is "bacterial SSU rRNA". It matches the Rfam family "Bacterial small subunit ribosomal RNA", at positions 1 to 380 of the family's 1533-position model. The record is from RNAcentral. Lineage: Bacteria; Pseudomonadati; Pseudomonadota; Alphaproteobacteria; Hyphomicrobiales; Nitrobacteraceae.
UCCAACUUGAGAGUUUGAUCCUGGCUCAGAGCGAACGCUGGCGGCAGGCUUAACACAUGCAAGUCGAACGGGCAUAGCAAUAUGUCAGUGGCAGACGGGUGAGUAACGCGUGGGAACAUACCUUUUGGUUCGGAACAACUGAGGGAAACUUCAGCUAAUACCGGAUAAGCCCUUACGGGGAAAGAUUUAUCGCCGAAAGAUUGGCCCGCGUCUGAUUAGCUAGUUGGUGAGGUAAUGGCUCACCAAGGCGACGAUCAGUAGCUGGUCUGAGAGGAUGAUCAGCCACAUUGGGACUGAGACACGGCCCAAACUCCUACGGGAGGCAGCAGUGGGGAAUAUUGGACAAUGGGCGAAA